CCCAGUUCGGAUUGUAGUCUGCAACCCGACUACAUGAAGCUGGAAUCGCUAGUAAUCGCAGGUCAGCAUACUGCGGUGAAUACGUUCCCGGGUCUUGUACACACCACCCGUCACACCAUGGGAGCCGGAAAUGCCCGAAGCCAGUGACCCAACCUUAGGGAGGGAGCUGUCGAAGGUGGAGCCGGUAACUGGGGUGAAGUCGUAACAAGGUAUC
Molecule: ribosomal RNA, 214 nt
Filed under: uncultured bacterium
Lineage: Bacteria
Description: partial 16S ribosomal RNA
Rfam family: Bacterial small subunit ribosomal RNA
Source: RNAcentral